AGUGAACGCUGGCGGUAGGCCUAACACAUGCAAGUCGAACGGCAGCACAGUAAGAGCUUGCUCUUACGGGUGGCGAGUGGCGGACGGGUGAGGAAUACAUCGGAAUCUACUUUUUCGUGGGGGAUAACGUAGGGAAAGUUACGCUAAUACCGCAUACGACCUACGGGUGAAAGCAGGGGAUCUUCGGACCUUGCGCGUUUGAAUGAGCCGAUGUCGGAUUAGCUAGUUGGCGGGGUAAAGGCCCACCAAGGCGACGAUCCGUAGCUGGUCUGAGAGGAUGAUCCGCCACACUGGAAGUGAGACACGGCCCAGACUCCUACGGGAGGCAGCAGUGGGGAAUAUUGGACAAUGGGCGCAAGCCUGAUCCAGCCCUACCGCGUGAGUGAAGAAGGCCUUCGGGUUGUAAAGCCCUUUUGUUGGGAAAGAAAAGCAGCAGGUUAAUACCCCGCUGUUCUGACGGUACCCAAAGAAUAAGCACCGGCUAACUUCGUG
RNAcentral lists this ribosomal RNA (492 nucleotides) under uncultured bacterium. Its description in RNAcentral is "partial 16S ribosomal RNA". It matches the Rfam family "Bacterial small subunit ribosomal RNA", at positions 29 to 507 of the family's 1533-position model. The record is from RNAcentral.